UGAGCAUCAAAAGAACUUUCAAAUAGUAGAUUUCCAUGUCCAUUUACCACUUUUACCACAUCUUACACCCAAAGCGGCAAAGCCCACAUGACGCUAUAGUUGACCAUACGCUACAAUUAGUUUUUCAGUAUGAUUGGGAAAACCAAACCUGACAUCCUUUCUACCAUCUAACCUGCUUUAUUUUAAAACCACAAAAAGCCCCUAAAAUUAUGGACAAGCCCAAUUCUCAACCAAAAGGCCAAAAGGUGAUUCCAAAUGGCCCAUGCAACCUCACAAAACAAAAAAUAAGUUAAUUAGACUCACAAUAAACAUAACACACCACUGAUCACAACAAUAAGGAGAUAAAAUCUUAUUUGCUCUCCUAUUUAAUUUCAAUCAGGAUAAACCUCCCUAUUAUCUGACUUCCCUCAACCACUCAAAAGAUAUAAACUUCUAUCAUUUGCUUGAUCUCAUCUCAUUCAAUCACCAGUCCCACGCAAGCUGCACUAGAAAGCACUGAUCUCCCAGGCGAUGUGCAACUCCACCUUUCUUCUAUCAGUUUUGUUAUUUGCACUGCUGUACAUUUUCAAGAGAAGCAAUUUAGAUGUCCACUCUGUGCACAAACAAAGUAUAGUUUAGUUCAUGCCCUUCUAUAUGACAACAAAUAGCGACUACUCAGAUGGUUGCCAUUUAACC
RNAcentral lists this unclassified non-coding RNA (675 nucleotides) under Hevea brasiliensis (rubber tree). Lineage: Eukaryota; Viridiplantae; Streptophyta; Magnoliopsida; Malpighiales; Euphorbiaceae. The record is from RNAcentral.